GCCUGGAUAGCUCACUUGGUUUGAGCAUGGUGCUGAUAACACCAAGGUUGCAGGUUCAAUCCCCGUAUGGGACA
RNAcentral lists this transfer RNA (74 nucleotides) under Podarcis lilfordi (Lilford's wall lizard). RNAcentral describes it as "tRNA.Ile". The stretch from base 8 to 66 matches the Rfam family "tRNA", at positions 8 to 63 of the family's 71-position model. From Rfam's summary of the family: Transfer RNA (tRNA) molecules are approximately 80 nucleotides in length. Their secondary structure includes four short double-helical elements and three loops (D, anti-codon, and T loops). Lineage: Eukaryota; Metazoa; Chordata; Lepidosauria; Squamata; Lacertidae. The record is from RNAcentral.